RNAcentral lists this ribosomal RNA (253 nucleotides) under uncultured bacterium. RNAcentral describes it as "partial 16S ribosomal RNA". It matches the Rfam family "Bacterial small subunit ribosomal RNA", at positions 524 to 776 of the family's 1533-position model. The record is from RNAcentral.
GACGAAGGAUCCAAGCGUUGUCCGGAUUUACUGGGUUUAAAGGGUGCGUAGGUGGAAAAAUAAGUCAGUGGUGAAAGCCCCCGACUCAAUCGGGGAACUGCCAUUGAAACUGCUUUUCUUGAAUUCGGUUGAGGUAGAUGGAAUGUAACAUGUAGCGGUGAAAUGCUUAGAUAUGUUACAGAACUCCAAUUGCGAAGGCAGUCUGCUAAGCCGUUAUUGACACUGAGGCACGAAAGCGUGGGGAGCAAACAGG